Molecule: long non-coding RNA, 754 nt
Filed under: Manihot esculenta (cassava)
Lineage: Eukaryota; Viridiplantae; Streptophyta; Magnoliopsida; Malpighiales; Euphorbiaceae
Description: long non-coding RNA (MESC_LNC010825)
Rfam family: Small nucleolar RNA snoR100 (bases 167-280)
Source: RNAcentral
GGAAAGGUUGUUGCGGAUGCUCUACGCUGCUUGGAUCAUUUGUUUGAAAGUCAUCUUAAAUCUCUCUUCUGUUAAUUUUCUUUUUCAUCUAGAUUGAUUGUAUUGAAUAACAAUGAACUACUAGAUAGAUCUGUGCACAAUAAGCCGAUGCUCUGGAUUCAAAAGAAAAAGAAGGAAGCAUGGUAAUGUGCACAGAAAUGGAAUCUUUGGGUGAACAUGUCUGCUCCCUCUGAUCCGAUUCUUUUUUCAUGAUGAGGGGGCCUGGUUUGCACCCACAUUUUUCUUUUUUAUUUUCUAUUUUCUUUCCUGCUUCUCCGAAUUGUUUCUGAAAAUUAUUUACUCUUUUUUUAUGUUUAAACGUUUUCUUAGAUUAAGAUCUCAGGUUUUAAUUUAACUUUGAAUGAAAUUAAUUGGUUUGUUUUUUGUACAAGUUAUAUUGAUGGCCGUCCAAUAUGGUUUCCUGCACUUGAUGAUGCCCCUUGCUCUGUUUUCUGAAGACUUUGGAUCAUUGGAUUAUAGCUCAUUCUUCCAAAAAUUCAAGACCAAUACAAAUAGGCCCAAAGAAGCCAAGGAUUCUAAGAUCUAACACAAAAAUAACCUAAGGAGAACCGGAGCUUUGGAACUCGCCUGAUUGACAAUGAACAAGACUCGCCCAAGCUUGUAUCCGAUAGAGGAGCGAGGUGCACGUUGCCUCCACACAAGAUGAAACUCCCGAAGUUGAAAAACACUACCAAAACCAACUAAGAUAAANNNN